CCCCAGUAACGGCGAGUGAAGCGGCAACAGCUCAAAUUUGAAAUCUGGCCCCGGUGGUCCGAGUUGUAAUUUGCAGAAGGUGCCUCGGGUGCGGCAGCGGUCCAAGUCCCUUGGAACGGGGCGUCGGAGAGGGUGAGAAUCCCGUACGCGACCGAUGGCCAACCCCGUGUGAGGCCCUUUCGACGAGUCGAGUUGUUUGGGAAUGCAGCUCAAAAUGGGUGGUAAAUUUCAUCUAAAGCUAAAUACCGGCCAGAGACCGAUAGCGCACAAGUAGAGUGAUCGAAAGAUGAAAAGCACUUUGGAAAGAGAGUUAAAAAGUAUGUGAAAUUGUUGAUAGGGAAGCGCUUGCAACCAGACUCGCCCGCGGGAGAUCAACCGUCCCUCGGGGCGGUGCACUCCCCCGCGGUCGGGCCAGCAUCGGUUCCGNNGNCCGGACAAAUUCCCGGGGAACGUGGCUCCCUCCGGGGAGUGNUAUAGCCCCGGGCGCAAUGCGGCCAGCCGGGACCGAGGACCGCGCUUCGUGCUAGGAUGCUGGCGUAAUGGUUGUCAGCGACCCGUCUUGAAACACGG
Molecule: ribosomal RNA, 570 nt
Filed under: Sagiolechia protuberans
Lineage: Eukaryota; Fungi; Ascomycota; Lecanoromycetes; Ostropales; Sagiolechiaceae
Description: LSU rRNA
Rfam family: Eukaryotic large subunit ribosomal RNA
Source: RNAcentral